Molecule: ribosomal RNA, 486 nt
Filed under: uncultured bacterium
Lineage: Bacteria
Description: partial 16S ribosomal RNA
Rfam family: Bacterial small subunit ribosomal RNA
Source: RNAcentral
ACUCAAAUGAAUUGACGGGGGCCCGCACAAGCAGCGGAGCGUGUGGUUUAAUUCGAGGCUACACGAAGAACCUUACCUAGAUUUGACAUGCAGGUGGUAGAACGGUGAAAGCCGAACGACCUUCGGGAGCCUGCACAGGUGCUGCAUGGCUGUCGUCAGCUCGUGCCGUGAGGUGUUAGGUUAAGUCCUGUAACGAGCGCAACCCCCGACCUUAGUUACACGGUGUCUAAGGUGACUGCCCGCGACAAGCGGGAGGAAGGUGGGGAUGAUGUCAAGUCAGCAUGGCCUUUAUAUCUAGGGCUACACACACGCUACAAUGGUCGGUACAAUGGGUCGCUAAGCCGCAAGGUGGCGCUAAUCCUACCAAAGCCGAUCUCAGUUCGGAUUGUGGGCUGCAACCCGCCCACAUGAAGUUGGAGUUGCUAGUAACCGCGCGUCAGCUAUAGUGCGGUGAAUACGUUCCCGGGCCUUGUACACACCGCCCGU